This 539-nucleotide ribosomal RNA is filed under the name uncultured Alphaproteobacteria bacterium. RNAcentral describes it as "bacterial SSU rRNA". It matches the Rfam family "Bacterial small subunit ribosomal RNA", at positions 349 to 906 of the family's 1533-position model. The record is from RNAcentral. Lineage: Bacteria; Pseudomonadati; Pseudomonadota; Alphaproteobacteria.
CAGCAGUGGGGAAUCUUAGACAAUGGGCGCAAGCCUGAUCUAGCCAUGCCGCGUGUGUGAUGAAGGUCUUAGGAUCGUAAAGCACUUUCGCCAGGGAUGAUAAUGACAGUACCUGGUAAAGAAACCCCGGCUAACUCCGUGCCAGCAGCCGCGGUAAUACGGAGGGGGUUAGCGUUGUUCGGAAUUACUGGGCGUAAAGCGUACGUAGGCGGAUCAGAAAGUUGGGGGUGAAAUCCCGGGGCUCAACCCCGGAACUGCCUCCAAAACUCCUGGUCUUGAGUUCGAGAGAGGUGAGUGGAAUUCCAAGUGUAGAGGUGAAAUUCGUAGAUAUUUGGAGGAACACCAGUGGCGAAGGCGGCUCACUGGCUCGAUACUGACGCUGAGGUACGAAAGUGUGGGGAGCAAACAGGAUUAGAUACCCUGGUAGUCCACACCGUAAACGAUGAAUGCCAGUCGUCGGGCAGUAUACUGUUCGGUGACACACCUAACGGAUUAAGCAUUCCGCCUGGGGAGUACGGUCGCAAGAUUAAAACUCAAGG